UUCUUAGAUGACUGAGAUUUAAGUGCUAGAUUUUUAAUCUAGAAACAGCAAGUUUGCUUCUAGGAAU
RNAcentral lists this transfer RNA (67 nucleotides) under Lilliconus sagei. RNAcentral describes it as "tRNA-Lys". It matches the Rfam family "tRNA". Rfam says of the family: Transfer RNA (tRNA) molecules are approximately 80 nucleotides in length. Their secondary structure includes four short double-helical elements and three loops (D, anti-codon, and T loops). Lineage: Eukaryota; Metazoa; Mollusca; Gastropoda; Neogastropoda; Conidae. The record is from RNAcentral.